GAUGGACGCUGGCGGCGUGCCUAAUACAUGCAAGUAGAACGCUGAAGCUUGGUGCUUGCACCGAGCGGAUGAGUUGCGAACGGGUGAGUAACGCGUAGGUAACCUGCCUCUUAGCGGGGGAUAACUAUUGGAAACGAUAGCUAAUACCGCAUAAAAGUCGAUAUCGCAUGAUGUUGACUUGAAAGGUGCAAUUGCAUCACUAAGAGAUGGACCUGCGUUGUAUUAGCUAGUUGGUGAGGUAACGGCUCACCAAGGCGACGAUACAUAGCCGACCUGAGAGGGUGAUCGGCCACACUGGGACUGAGACACGGCCCAGACUCCUACGGGAGGCAGCAGUAGGGAAUCUUCGGCAAUGGGGGCAACCCUGACCGAGCAACGCCGCGUGAGUGAAGAAGGUUUUCGGAUCGUAAAGCUCUGUUGUAAGAGAAGAACGAGUGUGAGAGUGGAAAGUUC
Molecule: ribosomal RNA, 453 nt
Filed under: Streptococcus parasanguinis
Lineage: Bacteria; Bacillati; Bacillota; Bacilli; Lactobacillales; Streptococcaceae
Description: bacterial SSU rRNA
Rfam family: Bacterial small subunit ribosomal RNA
Source: RNAcentral